RNAcentral lists this ribosomal RNA (843 nucleotides) under uncultured bacterium. RNAcentral's name for it is "bacterial SSU rRNA". It matches the Rfam family "Bacterial small subunit ribosomal RNA", at positions 51 to 890 of the family's 1533-position model. The record is from RNAcentral.
ACACAUGCAAGUCGAGGGGCAGCGCGGGAUAGCAAUAUUCUGGCGGCGACCGGCGGAAGGGUGCGCAACGCGUGAGCGACAUGCCCGUUGCCCGGGGACAACCGGUGGAAACGCCGACUAAUCCCCGAUGGGAUACGAUGCUGCAUGGCAUUGUAUUGAAAGUUACGGCGGCGACGGAUUGGCUCGCGUCCGAUUAGCUGGUUGGCGGGGUAACGGCCCACCAAGGCUGCGAUCGGUAGGGGUUCUGAGAGGAAGGCCCCCCACAAUGGGACUGAGACACGGCCCAUACUCCUACGGGAGGCAGCAGUGAGGAAUAUUGGUCAAUGGGCGGAAGCCUGAACCAGCCAUGCCGCGUGCGGGAAGGAGGCCCUAUGGGCUGUGAACCGCUUUUGCCUGGGGGCAAUAAGGGCGUCGCGCACGCCCGAUGAGAGUACCAGGCGAAUAAGCAUCGGCUAACUCCGUGCCAGCAGCCGCGGUAAUACGGGGGAUGCGAGCGUUAUCCGGAUUCAUUGGGUUUAAAGGGUGCGUAGGCUGUGCGUCAAGUCGGGGGUGAAAUUCCGGUGCUCAACACCGGGGCUGCCCUUGAUACUGUCGCGCUGGAGUGCGGAUGCCGCCGGAGGAAUGAGUGGUGUAGCGGUGAAAUGCUUAGAUAUCACUCAGAACACCGAUUGCGAAGGCAUCUGGCGAAUCCGUAACUGACGCUGAGGCACGAAAGCGUGGGGAUAGAACAGGAUUAGAUACCCUGGUAUUCCACGCCGUAAACGAUGAUGGCUAACCGCCGGCGACACACUGUCGGUGGCCAAGCGAAAGCGAUAAGCCAUCCACCUGGGGAGUACGUCGGCA